This 468-nucleotide ribosomal RNA is filed under the name uncultured bacterium. Its description in RNAcentral is "partial 16S ribosomal RNA". It matches the Rfam family "Bacterial small subunit ribosomal RNA", at positions 28 to 507 of the family's 1533-position model. The record is from RNAcentral.
GACGAACGCUGGCGGCGUGCUUAACACAUGCAAGUCGAACGGAAAGGCCCUGCUUUUGUGGUGUGCUCGAGUGGCGAACGGGUGAGUAACACGUGAGUAACCUGCCCUUGACUUUGGGAUAACUUCAGGAAACUGGGGCUAAUACCGGAUAGGAGCUCCUGCUGCAUGGUGGGGGUUGGAAAGUUUCGGCGGUUGGGGAUGGACUCGCGGCUUAUCAGCUUGUUGGUGGAGUAGUGGCUUACCAAGGCUUUGACGGGUAGCCGGCCUGAGAGGGUGACCGGCCACAAUGGGACUGAGAGACGGACCAGACUCCUACGGGAGGCAGCAGUGGGGAAUAUUGCACAAUGGGCGGAAGUCUGAUGCAGCAACGCCGCGUGCGGGAUGACGGCCUUCGGGGUGUAAACCGCUUUCGCCUGUGACGAAGCGUGAGUGACGGUAAUGGGUAAAGAAGCACCGGCUAACUACGUG